UGGUGUAGUGGCUAACAUCGUCGUCUUUCACACGACAGCCCUGGGUUCGAUUCCCAG
Molecule: transfer RNA, 57 nt
Filed under: Monascus purpureus
Lineage: Eukaryota; Fungi; Ascomycota; Eurotiomycetes; Eurotiales; Aspergillaceae
Description: tRNA-Glu
Rfam family: tRNA
About the family: Transfer RNA (tRNA) molecules are approximately 80 nucleotides in length.
Source: RNAcentral